CGGCAGGCGUAAACAGGAAGAGAAAAGUUAAAAACAAAACAGCGGGAUUAGAAGGAAAUAACACAGCAGGUGCCCUGGGUGGGAGACAUAUGAGCAGGGAUGGAGGAAGAGAGCACAGAAAGUGGGACAACUUCUAUCGAAGCUGAAACACUGACCCAGAACUGUGACGAGGAGGCAGAUGAUUCCCAAAACUCACAGAAAGAGGAAGGCAAUGAUGGUGGAGCCAACGACGGAGAGGCAGAACUCGUGGUGGGUCACAAAAUGCCAAAUAAGGUCCAUCAAACUUUUCAACAACAAUGAAAUUAAAUUCAUGUGCUUUUGCUCUUUGGUUUGUGUGACUGAUGAGGGUGAAGAGGAUCUGUGUAUCAGGGCUGAGGAAGCUUUGCAGCAGGAGGUUGCAGACAUCACAGACACACAGAGGGAUGGGGACAGCCUCCUGCGGUCCCACCUGUCAACAGAAGAAGAGAUGACUGCCACAUCAGCGUCAUCUCAUCCCUCCGUCACACAGAAUCAACCUCCUGACCCAUGCUGGUACUGCCUCAGGUCUCUUGACUCAGAUAAUCGUCCCCAAGUGACUGAACAGG
Molecule: long non-coding RNA, 584 nt
Organism: Austrofundulus limnaeus
Lineage: Eukaryota; Metazoa; Chordata; Actinopteri; Cyprinodontiformes; Rivulidae
Exons: 3
Source: RefSeq, a predicted model, not a curated record